UGCCCAAGGAGGGAGCCAGCGCCAUCUGCUUCUCCUUUUCCUGUCGCAAGCACCUGGAGCUGCACAGCCCUGGAAUCACGUCUGUAACUCUGCAAUUCAACCCCAAGGAUAACAAGCUUAGAGGAUAAAUUCUCCCCUGCCAGAAUUUGUUUCUCUGCUGCCAGCCACCUCAGCAUUUAGCAAAACCCCAUUCUUUGCUCAGUUCCAGGCUGCUUGAAGCAAAGGCAGGUUCAGACCACCCUCCUCAAGUUUUGGAAUCAGUCCCACUAGCUUUUCUCCUGCAGCCUGCUGUGUUUGUUCCCAACCCCCUCACCUCAGCUUGUAGCUGGCAGGGGCAGUGCUGGGGCAGGAUGGCAGAGCUCACAUUCACCUGAGACCCAUGGUGUGGGAAAAACCAGCUGGGUGCAUCAGCAUCAAGGACAUUUCAUCUCAGCAGCCGUUGCAGUGUAUCUGAAGAGGCUGUUCCCUGAGACAAUAUGGCUUUCCCAAAGCUGCUUCCUGCUGUGUGUUAGACUGGUCACUGGGGCUCCAGAUUGCAGCAAUCAGG
This is a non-coding RNA of Zonotrichia albicollis (white-throated sparrow), 547 nucleotides long. Lineage: Eukaryota; Metazoa; Chordata; Aves; Passeriformes; Passerellidae. The record is from RefSeq and is a predicted model, not a curated record.